Molecule: ribosomal RNA, 576 nt
Filed under: uncultured bacterium
Lineage: Bacteria
Description: partial 16S ribosomal RNA
Rfam family: Bacterial small subunit ribosomal RNA
Source: RNAcentral
UGGGGAAUAUUGCACAAUGGGCGCAAGCCUGAUGCAGCCAUGCCGCGUGUGUGAAGAAGGCCUUCGGGUUGUAAAGCACUUUCAGCGAGGAGGAAGGUGGUGAGCUUAAUACGCUCAUCAAUUGACGUUACUCGCAGAAGAAGCACCGGCUAACUCCGUGCCAGCAGCCGCGGUAAUACGGAGGGUGCAAGCGUUAAUCGGAAUUACUGGGCGUAAAGCGCACGCAGGCGGUUUGUUAAGUCAGAUGUGAAAUCCCCGGGCUCAACCUGGGAACUGCAUUUGAAACUGGCAAGCUAGAGUCUCGUAGAGGGGGGUAGAAUUCCAGGUGUAGCGGUGAAAUGCGUAGAGAUCUGGAGGAAUACCGGUGGCGAAGGCGGCCCCCUGGACGAAGACUGACGCUCAGGUGCGAAAGCGUGGGGCAGCAAACAGGAUUAGAUACCCUGGUAGUCCACGCUGUAAAACGAUGUCGAUUUUGGAGGUUGUGCCCUUGAGGCGUGGCUUCCGGAGCUAACGCGUUAAAUCGACCGCCUGGGGAGUACGGCCGCAAGGUUAAAACUCAAAUGAAUUGCGGGGUCU